GUGGGUGUAGCUCAGUUGGUUAGAGCACCAGAUUGUGGUUCUGGGGGUCGCCGGUUCAAAUCCGGUCACUCACCCCA
Molecule: transfer RNA, 77 nt
Filed under: Planctomycetota bacterium
Lineage: Bacteria; Pseudomonadati; Planctomycetota
Also listed under: 1 other name
Description: tRNA-His
Rfam family: tRNA
About the family: Transfer RNA (tRNA) molecules are approximately 80 nucleotides in length. Their secondary structure includes four short double-helical elements and three loops (D, anti-codon, and T loops).
Source: RNAcentral